This 292-nucleotide ribosomal RNA is filed under the name uncultured bacterium. Its description in RNAcentral is "partial 16S ribosomal RNA". It matches the Rfam family "Bacterial small subunit ribosomal RNA", at positions 505 to 796 of the family's 1533-position model. The record is from RNAcentral.
GUGCCAGCAGCCGCGGUAAUACGUAGGGGGCAAGCGUUGUCCGGAAUCAUUGGGCGUAAAGCGCACGUAGGCGGCCCGGUAAGUCCGUUGUGAAAGUCAGAGGCUCAACCUCUGGAGGCCAAUGGAUACUGCCGGGCUAGAGUCCGGAAGAGGCGAGUGGAAUUCCUGGUGUAGCGGUGGAAUGCGCAGAUAUCAGGAGGAACACCAAUGGCGAAGGCAGCUCGCUGGGACGGUACUGACGCUGAGGUGCGAAAGCGUGGGGAGCGAACAGGAUUAGAUACCCUGGUAGUCC